GCGAAAGUGGCGGAAUUGGUAGACGCGCAGGAUUCAGGUUCCUGUGGUAGCAAUACCGUGGGGGUUCGAGUCCCCCCUUUCGCACCA
Molecule: transfer RNA, 87 nt
Filed under: Acidobacteriota bacterium
Lineage: Bacteria; Pseudomonadati; Acidobacteriota
Also listed under: 2 other names
Description: Acidobacteria bacterium tRNA-Leu
Rfam family: tRNA
About the family: Transfer RNA (tRNA) molecules are approximately 80 nucleotides in length.
Source: RNAcentral